ACUCUUUCAGAUAAGGUCGUGUGCUUUCAACUGUAGAAAUUUGCCACGAGAAACAACGGCUUUUGAGCUCCAGUUUAAAAAAAAAAAUUUUGUUAAUCCCUCCAGCAAAUCAAACUUCACAAUCAUUAAAAGCUUUUUUCACAACGUGAUCAGGGCAACACCGGAUGGAAAACUUUGUGGCUGGUAUCAAAUGACUCAAGGAAAAACAAGCUGACAUCAGGCCCCAGCUACAGAUCACCGCUUUAACAUGUCAAUCUCAAUCUCAGUUAGGAUUUUCCUUUUCCAUGCUGGCAGAGCCUUCUCCAACAAACUGUGGGUUUUGUGCUCCAUCAUUUACUUCUAUGAAUUAUCUAUGUGGUCAUUAAAGAAUUGGUGUGCGUGCAUAAGAUCCAAUGAACGAUUAAUUGCUGUUCAUUUGCUAAUGAACUAGUUACAACAUCCAACAAAAUAAUCAAAACAAAUAGGUUAGAAACGAGGAACUGCAGAUGCUGGUUUACCAAGGA
Molecule: long non-coding RNA, 503 nt
Organism: Amblyraja radiata (thorny skate)
Lineage: Eukaryota; Metazoa; Chordata; Chondrichthyes; Rajiformes; Rajidae
Exons: 3
Source: RefSeq, a predicted model, not a curated record